Molecule: long non-coding RNA, 1957 nt
Filed under: Mus musculus (house mouse)
Lineage: Eukaryota; Metazoa; Chordata; Mammalia; Rodentia; Muridae
Source: RNAcentral
UGGCUACAUAUCUGUCUCUGGAACAAUAGGUACCUAUAUUCUGCACGGGCUUCUGGGCAGGCAGCACUAACACUCAGGAGAAGGUCUGCCUCUGUCUGCGCCUUCCUGGUUCAAUGCAGGCAGAUGAGUGUCACAGAUGUAACUGAGGCACUGAAUAAUCAACAUAUCGGAGCCAAUUCCCAGGACGGCAAGAGGGGGAACCGGCAGAGAUGACUGACCCUGGAGGACAAGAGCAUUCUUCUGACAAGUUUUAGCAUGGACUAUCCUCAGGAAAAUGAGAUCCAGGAAGAGUGACGCCCUCCUCGAACUGAAAGAUACUCAGGUUGAUGGAGUCAGGGACGAAGUGGCUUAUCAACAACACAGGAUGUCUGCAGGGAACAGAACUUAUUCAGACAUGGCCCAGAUUGUCUGCCCGUGGGGACUGAGGGACCUCUGAGGGUUACAUCAGGAAGGAGAGGCUGUUUCUACAGGUGCCACAGAAAAAUCGAUGCUGAGCCUCGGAUUAUUGGAUCCCAUAGAACCGUGGAGACUUGGCAGUGAAAUUCUUCCAAAGCAUUCCAUCUGCGCAGGCAGGCAGAGGUUUUCCUGGUUUGGGAAGUAUAAAUCCCGUGGGAAGUCAACUGGAGGACAUUUUACGCGUCACUCAUCCUAUUAUGAGCCUGCUGCUCCUCCGUCUCUUGACAAGUUGGCAGCUAAAGGACAGGAGCAGCAAUAAGGCUUCCUGGCUACAUUUUCAUGGUGCCACCAACUGCGAGUUAAGCUGACAAACAUUUUGAGAGCUCGGCCCAUUUCAUUCCCAGCAGGAUGGCAGGCUCUUGCUCUGUUGACUAAGCCUUGAGAUGUUUCUUUGCCUCUGCCUCUGCCUCUGCCUCUGCCUCUGCCUCUGCCUCUGCCUCUGCCUCUGCCUCUGCCUCUGCCUCUGCCUCUGCCUCUGCCUCUGCCUCUGCCUCUGCCUCUGCCUCUCCUUAGUGAGUGAACUGUUAAAAAAGGAGUUAACUAAAACAGAAUAAACUAAAAAUUGUGCCUUCAUUGCACAUUUGCACUGAUUAUCAGCACUGAAAAUGGCUAAGUUCUGCUUAUCAAGAGCGGGUGACUGAUUGUCCCUGCCAGCUGGCUAAUAUCAUAAUUAGCAAAGUUGCUACCACAUCUGCAAAGUUUAAUCGAAAAAUUUACCAGUGGUAUGAUGGCAUUGUCACCGCGAUCCUGAGGGAAUCAGAGUCGACUUCUGCUUCAACUGGAAUGGCAAGGCUGUAGAGCUGAGAUGAGAAACUGUAAACUUGCUCAGCCAAAGGAGGCUAAUAAUGAAGGGGCCAGGGAAGGAGGCCAAUGCUACAGGGUUAUCUCCUAACCUCAGAUGUUGGAUAAGUCCAUGGAAACAGCAGCGCUUCUGGAUGGCUUCAGAAAGGCUGGAGUGAUUGUUUGGACGAGAAAAACCCGCCUAUUCAUUCAAAGGUACAUGAAUGUUGUCGACACUGUCCCAUCUAAAGGUUCAUCCUUAGAAUUCUGCCUUAGACAAAGGAAGUGCUUGGAGCCCCACCACACCUAAAACCAUGCUUUGAAGGAUCUGCCAAGCUCACUUUUAAUCAUGAGAAAGAAAUUACCCACAUGGAGACAGCAGAAAAUGAGAAAGUAGAGAUCGUGCUGCGAAUAAUUCCAGCGAGUGCCAAGGGGCUAGUUGAGGAAUGGCUUCAUGAGAUGUUAGUCUAUCUAGAACAACAGAUUUGGAUCUAAGCUGGACCUUUGAGAAAGAAAAGACUUCGAGGAAAAACACCUUUCCAUAUGUUUUAUUACCUUUCACCUGAAUUGUUUAAUGCACACUAUCCAACUAUAUUCAUCUUUCUUGCUUCAUGUGUAUUUCUUCUUUUGCUUGAACUGCUUUAGAAUUGACUUUUGAGCUACACAGUCAUUCUGGAUUUUUAAAAAGAGAAUUCUAAUAAAAACUUAUAUAUGUUGUUAA